GGGCUCGUGAUGAGCUGUGUUUGCUGAGCAAGAUGAAGUAAAGUGCAAUGUGAGUCCUCUGAAGUCC
Rhinolophus ferrumequinum (greater horseshoe bat) is the source of this 67-nucleotide small nucleolar RNA. Ensembl annotates it as small nucleolar RNA, C/D box 64. Its record names the gene SNORD64. The record is from Ensembl. Lineage: Eukaryota; Metazoa; Chordata; Mammalia; Chiroptera; Rhinolophidae.